AUUAAUUCGAUGCAACGCGAAAACCUUACUACCCUUGACAUGUCCGGAAUCCUGCAGAGAUGCGGGAGUGCCCGAAAGGGAAUCGGAACACAGGUGCUGCAUGGCUGUCGUCAGCUCGUGUCGUGAGAUGUUGGGUUAAGUCCCGCAACGAGCGCAACCCUUAUCAUUAGUUGCUACGCAAGGGCACUCUAAUGAGACUGCCGGUGACAAACCGGAGGAAGGUGGGGAUGACGCCAAGUCCUCAUGGCCCUUAUGGGUAGGGCUUCACACGUCAUACAAUGGUCGGUACAGAGGGUUGCCAACCCGCGAGGGGGAGCUAAUCCCACAAAGCCGAUCGUAGUCCGGAUCGCAGUCUGCAACUCGACUGCGUGAAGUCGGAAUCGCUAGUAAUCGUGGAUCAGCAUGUCACGGUGAAUACGUUCCCGGGUCUU
This 431-nucleotide ribosomal RNA is filed under the name uncultured Thiobacillus sp. RNAcentral describes it as "bacterial SSU rRNA". It matches the Rfam family "Bacterial small subunit ribosomal RNA", at positions 945 to 1382 of the family's 1533-position model. The record is from RNAcentral. Lineage: Bacteria; Pseudomonadati; Pseudomonadota; Betaproteobacteria; Nitrosomonadales; Thiobacillaceae.